UACCCUGAACGGUGGAUCACUUGGCUCGUGGGUCGAUGAAGAACGCAGCUAACUGCAGGACACAUGAACACCGACAUUUCGAACGCACAUUGCGGUCCACGGAUAACAAUUCCUGGACUACGCCUGGCUGAGGGUCG
RNAcentral lists this ribosomal RNA (137 nucleotides) under Dufourea novaeangliae. RNAcentral's name for it is "5.8S ribosomal RNA". It matches the Rfam family "5.8S ribosomal RNA". From Rfam's summary of the family: 5.8S ribosomal RNA (5.8S rRNA) is a component of the large subunit of the eukaryotic ribosome. The record is from Rfam by way of RNAcentral. Lineage: Eukaryota; Metazoa; Arthropoda; Insecta; Hymenoptera; Halictidae.